Harpia harpyja (harpy eagle) is the source of this 647-nucleotide long non-coding RNA. RefSeq lists it as uncharacterized. The transcript is spliced from 6 exons. The record is from RefSeq and is a predicted model, not a curated record. Lineage: Eukaryota; Metazoa; Chordata; Aves; Accipitriformes; Accipitridae.
CGCGGAUGAAAACUUGAGAAGCGGCGUGGGGUCUGGUGAAGGACGGUCCCGAACGCGGGUGCUGUUGAAACAUCGGGUGAAUAAAUGAGGUGUGCUGCUGUAUGAGAUACUUUUGAGGGCAAACCAGAAUAUUAAAAAAUGCACUGCAGCCUGAAAGGAGAGAAAAAAUCAGAAUCAUGGUGUGGAUCCUGGGGACAGAAGUUACUGUAACAAGUUCUGAAAAAAGCCUUGUGUUUUUUCUUGAUGAAAAGCUGGACCUCUUCAUGGCAUCUUUCUUAGGAGCAACAAGAAACGCAGAGUUAUUUAAAAUACGACUUUGGCAAUUCUGCUCUACCAAAUACUGGUCUGAUGUCAACCCAAGUUUUCUUCGGUUACAGGACUUGGGUCAAUACAGAGUCAAGCUGAACAGAGACGCAGGUCAGCUCUUGCAGGGGAAAAGCAAGGGCAGCGUGGAGCCGCUCCCUACGGCAUCUGGCACCUGAGCCGAUACGAAGUGAGUUGGUAUCUGAGAACUAUAUGGUGAAAUGAUAUUCCUUUUUCUGAUGUGGUAUCUUGGCUUGGAGGUCCUACCAUUUUGGAAAAUCAGAGAUCCACCUGAAGAAUUUGCUUUCUCCUACUCCCCAACCAUCACCCCAAACAUACUGUUA